GUGGGGAAUUUUUCGCAAUGGGGGAAACCCUGACGAAGCAACGCCGCGUGGAGGAUGAAGGCCUUCGGGUCGUAAACUCCUGUCGACCGGGACGAACGUAGUCGGGUCCAAUACACCCGGCUAUCGACUGUACCGGUGGAGGAAGCCACGGCUAACUCUGUGCCAGCAGCCGCGGUAAUACAGAGGUGGCAAGCGUUGUUCGGAAUUACUGGGCGUAAAGGGCGCGUAGGCGGUUCGUUAAGUCCUGUGUGAAAUCCCCCGGCUCAACUGGGGAACUGCACAGGAAACUAGCGGGCUUGAGUUCGGGAGAGGGAAGCGGAAUUCCGGGUGUAGCGGUGAAAUGCGUAGAUAUCCGGAGGAACACCGGUGGCGAAGGCGGCUUCCUGGACCGACACUGACGCUGAGGCGCGAAAGCUAGGGGAGCAAACGGGAUUAGAAACCCUAGUAGUCC
RNAcentral lists this ribosomal RNA (451 nucleotides) under uncultured bacterium. Its description in RNAcentral is "bacterial SSU rRNA". It matches the Rfam family "Bacterial small subunit ribosomal RNA", at positions 354 to 796 of the family's 1533-position model. The record is from RNAcentral.